GUUUGGAGGAUUGGGACUCCGCCAUGGAAAUGGUGAAGCUUUGGGUUGUGUUGAGCCUGGUGAUGGUGAUCCUGAGGCCGGCGUACUCAGAGUUUCCUCCGACCUGCAACCGCAUCGAGUGCCCUAGGUACGACGUUAUCGACUCUGGCGACGGGUUUGAGAUUCGUCGAUACGAUUCACCUGUUUGGGCCUCCACCGCUCCAAUUCCCGAUGUUUCUCUCCGUCAAGCCACCAGAGCAGGGUUUCUCCAAUUGUUCGAGUACAUCCAAGGAAAGAACAGUUACAACGAAAAGAUAGAAAUGACUGCUCCAGUGAUCACGGAGGUUUCUCCAAGCGACGGACCCUUUUGUGAAUCAUCGUUUGUUGUUAGCUUCUACGUGCCGAAAGUGAACCAAGCAGAUCCACCACCAGCGAAAGGGCUUCAUGUACAGAGAUGGAAUUCUACAUAUGUUGCAGUUAGACAAUUUGGUGGGUUUGUUUCUGAUGAAAACAUUGGAAGUGAGGCUGCUGCUUUGGAUGAAAGUGUUUUUGACACAAAGUGGGGUGCAGCAAUCAGCAAGAGCCGUGGUGGUGGCAGUGCUUCCAUUUAUACCGUGGCUCAGUACAAUUCCCCUUUUGAGUUUCAAGGUCGAGUCAAUGAAAUUUGGUUCUUGUUUGAUAUUGAAGAUGUAGCUGCUGCUCACAAAUUUAGUGUUUAAUGCUAAAAUAUAAA
Molecule: unclassified non-coding RNA, 712 nt
Filed under: Hevea brasiliensis (rubber tree)
Lineage: Eukaryota; Viridiplantae; Streptophyta; Magnoliopsida; Malpighiales; Euphorbiaceae
Source: RNAcentral